This 294-nucleotide ribosomal RNA is filed under the name Triticum aestivum (bread wheat). Its description in RNAcentral is "partial small subunit ribosomal RNA". Lineage: Eukaryota; Viridiplantae; Streptophyta; Magnoliopsida; Poales; Poaceae. The record is from RNAcentral.
AUGCUGGGCGUUGGCUUAUAUGGCUACAUUGAUCAAACCAUCUAGGAGCCUUCCAAAACAAUCACAACCGAAGACAAAGAGGGAAAGGAUCAGGUCACCCCAAAUACUGCCUACGCCCCCUGGCUCGUCCAGGACCAGAAUAGCAUUGCCUAUCUCCUCCGCAAUCUUUCCAAUGAGGUCCUCGUUCAGGUUGCCUCCCUUGAAACCUCCCACGCGAUCUGGACUGCCCUUGCAUCUAUGUUUGUGGAUGUCUCACUGUCGCGUGCCAACAAUCUUCGCGCCACUCCCACCAAU